GAGAGAUAUGGUUUAAGUAAAGUAUAAUCUAGCGAAGGACGAGUAGGUAAAGGCGGGAGCGGCGCCAUUACUCGAAGCGAAAAGAAACUAUAGAAUGAAGCAGAAGCCUGAAUGAAAGAAUGAAGAUUAAAAAAAAUCGGAGAAGACGAAGAAGAAGUAAAGAGAAGCGAAAGAGAAGUUUCGCCGGAAAAGACGAGGAAGAAAUAAAAAGGGGAUAGAAAAGACAAAGGGAAUGAGAAGCUUAGGAAAGAAAAAAAGAUCGUCGCAUCGAACCAUUGCAUCAAAACGAGUUCCGAGGUCGGCUAUAAUGAUGAAUAGACGACCGUAAUUAAGAUGACCUAAUUA
Molecule: long non-coding RNA, 345 nt
Filed under: Ananas comosus (pineapple)
Lineage: Eukaryota; Viridiplantae; Streptophyta; Magnoliopsida; Poales; Bromeliaceae
Description: long non-coding RNA (ACOM_LNC033272)
Source: RNAcentral